This 505-nucleotide ribosomal RNA is filed under the name uncultured Campylobacterota bacterium. Its description in RNAcentral is "bacterial SSU rRNA". It matches the Rfam family "Bacterial small subunit ribosomal RNA", at positions 74 to 600 of the family's 1533-position model. The record is from RNAcentral. Lineage: Bacteria; Pseudomonadati; Campylobacterota.
CCUAGCUUGCUAGGUGGAUUAGUGGCGCACGGGUGAGUAAUAUAUAGAUAACGUGCCUCUUAGUCUGGGAUAGCCAUUGGAAACGAUGAUUAAUACUAGAUACUCCUUCUAACUCUAAUGUUAGUCGGGAAAGUUUUUCGCUAAGAGAUCGGUCUAUAUCCCAUCAGCUAGUUGGUAGUGUAAGAGACUACCAAGGCAAUGACGGGUAGCGGGUUUGAGAGGAUGAUCCGCCACACUGGUACUGAGACACGGACCAGACUCCUACGGGAGGCAGCAGUGAGGAAUAUUGCACAAUGGAGGAAACUCUGAUGCAGCAACGCCGCGUGGAGGAUGACGCAUUUCGGUGUGUAAACUCCUUUUAUAUGUCAAGAAAAUGACGGUAGCAUAUGAAUAAGCACCGGCUAACUCCGUGCCAGCAGCCGCGGUAAUACGGAGGGUGCAAGCGUUAUUCGGAAUCACUGGGCGUAAAGGACGCGUAGGCGGGAUGCCAAGUCUGAUGUGAAAU